UGUAUGUUUUCUUUCUGUUCUUUUCAGCCUGUAAACUAAUUCUAUUUAUUGCAACUUGGUCAAUUAUUGUGAUAACGAUUCGAGGACCAUGCAAGUGCAGUUACUGAUCCCUAAAUUGAUGAGUCAUUAAGUGGAACUGCCACAAGUUGUUGUUCAUCAAUGACGGAAUAUGUGUAACCCUGUCCAUGCUCCCUUCCCCUAGCCCUAAUCAUAACUCCUGAAUGCAGUUAAACUUAUUCACACAUUACAUUGUCACCGAAUUUUUACUUCAAUUUAAGAGAUUAAGA
Molecule: long non-coding RNA, 287 nt
Organism: Hyalella azteca
Lineage: Eukaryota; Metazoa; Arthropoda; Malacostraca; Amphipoda; Hyalellidae
Exons: 2
Source: RefSeq, a predicted model, not a curated record